RNAcentral lists this ribosomal RNA (223 nucleotides) under uncultured bacterium. RNAcentral's name for it is "partial 16S ribosomal RNA". It matches the Rfam family "Bacterial small subunit ribosomal RNA", at positions 112 to 334 of the family's 1533-position model. The record is from RNAcentral.
AACGGUUACAAGAACCUCCCUCCAAGUGGUGAAUAGCCCGAAGAAAUUCGGAUUAAUACACCGUAACAUUAUAGAGUGGCAUCACUUCAUAAUUAUAGAUUUAUCGCUUAGAGAUGGCUGUGCGGCUGAUUAGGUAGUUGGCGGGGUAACGGCCCACCAAGCCUGCGAUCAGUAACUGGUGUGAGAGCACGACCAGUCACACGGGCACUGAGACACGGGCCCG